AGUGAACGCUGGCGGUAGGCCUAACACAUGCAAGUCGAACGGCAGCACAGUAAGAUCUUGCUCUUACGGGUGGCGAGUGGCGGACGGGUGAGGUAUACAUCGGAAUCUACUUUUUCGUGGGGGAUAACGUAGGGAAACUUACGCUAAUACCGCAUACGACCUACGGGUGAAAGCAGGGGAUCUUCUGACCUUGCGCGAUUGAAUGAGCCGAUGUCGGAUUAGCUAGUUGGCGGGGUAAAGGCCCACCAAGGCGACGAUCCGUAGCUGGUCUGAGAGGAUGAUCAGCCACACUGGAACUGAGACACGGUCCAGACUCAUACGGGAGGCAGCAGUGGGGAAUAUUGGACAAUGGGCGCAAGCCUGAUCCAGCCAUACCGCGUGGGUGAAGAAGGCCUUCGGGUUGUAAAGCACUUUUGUUGGGAAAGAAAAGCAGCAGGUUAAUACCCCGCUGUUCUGACGGUAACCAAAGAAUAAGCCCCGGCUAAAUUCGUG
This 492-nucleotide ribosomal RNA is filed under the name uncultured bacterium. RNAcentral's name for it is "partial 16S ribosomal RNA". It matches the Rfam family "Bacterial small subunit ribosomal RNA", at positions 29 to 507 of the family's 1533-position model. The record is from RNAcentral.